GACGAACGCUGGCGGCGUGCUUAACACAUGCAAGUCGAACGGAAAGGCCCUGCUUUUGUGGGGUUCUCGAGUGGCGAACGGGUGCGUAACACGUGUGUAACCUGCCCUUGUCUUUGGGAUAACUUCAGGAAACUGGGGCUAAUACCGGAUAGGAGCUCCUGCUGCAUGGUGGGGGUUGGAAAGUUUCGGCGGUUGGGGAUGGACUCGCGGCUUAUCAGCUUGUUGGUGGGGUAGUGGCUUACCAAGGCUUUGACGGGUAGCCGGCCUGAGAGGGUGACCGGGCACAUUGGGACUGAGAUACGGCCCAGACUCCUACGUGAGGCAGCAGUGGGGAAUAUUGCACAAUGGGCGGAAGCCGGAUGCAGAAACGCCGCGUGCGGGAUGACGGCCUUCGGGUUGUAAACCGCUUUCGCCUGUGACGAAGCGUGAGUGACGGUAAUGGGUAAAGAAGCACCGGCUAACUACGUG
Molecule: ribosomal RNA, 468 nt
Filed under: uncultured bacterium
Lineage: Bacteria
Description: partial 16S ribosomal RNA
Rfam family: Bacterial small subunit ribosomal RNA
Source: RNAcentral